This 74-nucleotide transfer RNA is filed under the name Lewinella sp. RNAcentral describes it as "tRNA-Arg". Lineage: Bacteria; Pseudomonadati; Bacteroidota; Saprospiria; Saprospirales; Lewinellaceae. RNAcentral also lists the same sequence under 1 other name. The record is from RNAcentral.
GGUGCGGUAGCUCAGCUGGUUUGAGCGUCCCGACUCUAUCGGAAAGGUCGGUGGUUCGGGGCCGUCUCGCGCUA